GGGCCGCUAGCUCAACUUGGCAGAGCAGCUGACUCUUAAUCAGCGGGUUGGAGGUUCGAGUCCUCCGCGGCUCA
This 74-nucleotide transfer RNA is filed under the name Anaerolineaceae bacterium. RNAcentral's name for it is "tRNA-Lys". It matches the Rfam family "tRNA". From Rfam's summary of the family: Transfer RNA (tRNA) molecules are approximately 80 nucleotides in length. Their secondary structure includes four short double-helical elements and three loops (D, anti-codon, and T loops). The record is from RNAcentral. Lineage: Bacteria; Bacillati; Chloroflexota; Anaerolineae; Anaerolineales; Anaerolineaceae. RNAcentral also lists the same sequence under 1 other name.